UGAAACCCUGAGACCUGGCGAUAGGCUU
RNAcentral lists this small RNA (28 nucleotides) under Bombyx mori (domestic silkworm). Its description in RNAcentral is "ovarian small RNA-30420". The record is from RNAcentral. Lineage: Eukaryota; Metazoa; Arthropoda; Insecta; Lepidoptera; Bombycidae.